UCGAGGAUCUUCGGCAAUGGGCGCAAGCCUGACCGAGCGACGCCGCGUGCGCGAUGAAGGCCUUCGGGUUGUAAAGCGCUGUCGAGGGGGAGGAAAGCCCGUAAGGGUCUGACCUAUCCCUGGAGGAAGCACGGGCUAAGUUCGUGCCAGCAGCCGCGGUAAGACGAACCGUGCAAACGUUGUUCGGAUUCACUGGGCUUAAAGGGCGCGUAGGCGGGUGACCAAGUCCGGGGUGAAAUCUUUCGGCUCAACCGGAAAAUUGCCUUGGAUACUGGUCGUCUUGAGGGAGGUAGGGGCAUGUGGAACUUCCGGUGGAGCGGUGAAAUGCGUUGAUAUCGGAAGGAACGCCGGUGGCGAAAGCGACGUGCUGGACCUCUUCUGACGCUGAGGCGCGAAAGCUAGGGGAGCAAACGGGAUUAGAUACCCGUGUAGUCC
RNAcentral lists this ribosomal RNA (435 nucleotides) under uncultured bacterium. RNAcentral describes it as "bacterial SSU rRNA". It matches the Rfam family "Bacterial small subunit ribosomal RNA", at positions 355 to 796 of the family's 1533-position model. The record is from RNAcentral.